GACGAACGCUGGCGGCGUGCUUAACACAUGCAAGUCGAACGGAAAGACCCUGCUUUUGUGGGGUGCUCGUGUGGCGAACGGGUGAGUAACACGUGAGUAACCUGCCCUUGACUUUGGGAUAACUUCAGGAAACUGGGGCUAAUACCGGAUAGGAGCUCCUGCUGCAUGGUGGGGGUUGGAAAGUUUCGGCGGUUGGGGAUGGACUCGCGGCUUAUCAGCUUGUUGGUGGGGUAGUGGCUUACCAAGGCUUUGACGGGUAGCCGGCCUGAGAGGGUGACCGGCCACAUUGGGACUGAGAUACGGCCCAGACUCCUACGGGAGGCAGCAGUGGGGAAUAUUGCACAAUGGGCGGAAGCCUGAUGCAGCAGCGCCGCGUGCGGGAUGACGGCCUUCGGGUUGUAAACCGCUUUCGCCUGUGACGAAGCGUGAGUGACGGUAAUGGGUAAAGAAGCACCGGCUAACUACGUG
This 468-nucleotide ribosomal RNA is filed under the name uncultured bacterium. RNAcentral describes it as "partial 16S ribosomal RNA". It matches the Rfam family "Bacterial small subunit ribosomal RNA", at positions 28 to 507 of the family's 1533-position model. The record is from RNAcentral.